RNAcentral lists this ribosomal RNA (1317 nucleotides) under metagenome. Its description in RNAcentral is "bacterial LSU rRNA". It matches the Rfam family "Bacterial large subunit ribosomal RNA", at positions 1558 to 2910 of the family's 2925-position model. The record is from RNAcentral.
CAGAUGUAGUUUGCCCUUAUCGGAUUGGGUGGGCUGCUGAGCGGUUCCAGGAAAUAGCCCCACACCAGACCGUACCCUAAACCGACACAGGUGGACUGGUAGAGUAUACCAAGGCGCUUGAGAGAACCACGUUAAAGGAACUCGGCAAAAUGCCUCCGUAAGUUCGCGAGAAGGAGGCCCCAUAUGUACGCAAGUAUGUGUGGGGGGCACAAACUAGGGGGUGGCGACUGUUUACUUAAAACACAGGGCUGUGCGAAGCCGUAAGGCGACGUAUACAGUCUGACGCCUGCCCGGUGCUGGAAGAUUAAGAGGAGGGGUGCAAGCUCUGAAUUGAAGUCCCAGUAAACGGCGGCCGUAACGAUAACGGUCCUAAGGUAGCGAAAUUCCUUGUCGGGUAAGUUCCGACCUGCACGAAUGGCGUAACGAUCUCCCCGCUGUCUCUAACGUGGACUCAGCGAAAUUGAACUGUGUGUCAAGAUGCACACUACCCGCGGUUAGACGGAAAGACCCCAUGAACCUUUACUCCAGCUUUGCACUGGUAUCAGGAUUGUGAUGUGCAGGAUAGGUGGUAGGCAUUGAAGCGGGGACGCCAGUCUUCGUGGAGCCUCCCUUGAGAUACCACCCUUCGCCAUCUUGAUAUCUAACCGCGGCCCGUUAUCCGGGUCCGGGACCCUGCAUGGUGGGGAGUUUGACUGGGGCGGUCGCCUCCCAAACAGUAACGGAGGCGCGCGAUGGUUGGCUCAGACCGGUCGGAAAUCGGUCGUUGAGUGCAAUGGCAGAAGCCAGCCUGACUGCAAGACUGACAAGUCGAGCAGAGACGAAAGUCGGUCAUAGUGAUCCGGUGGUCCCAAGUGGGAGGGCCAUCGCUCAACGGAUAAAAGGUACUCUGGGGAUAACAGGCUGAUGAUGGCCAAGAGUCCAUAUCGACGGCAUCGUUUGGCACCUCGAUGUCGGCUCAUCUCAUCCUGGGGCUGGAGCAGGUCCCAAGGGUAUGGCUGUUCGCCAUUUAAAGAGGUACGUGAGCUGGGUUUAGAACGUCGUGAGACAGUUCGGUCCCUAUCUGCCGUGGGUGCAGGAGACUUGAGAAGAGUUGACCCUAGUACGAGAGGACCGGGUUGAACGAACCACUGGUGGACCAGUUAUCGUGCCAACGGUAGUGCUGGGUAGCUAUGUUCGGACAGGAUAACCGCUGAAGGCAUCUAAGCGGGAAGCCCCCUUCAAAACAAGGUCUCCCUUGAGGGCCGUGGAAGACGACCACGUCGAUAGGCCAGAGGUGUAAGUGCAGCAAUGCAUUCAGCUGACUGGUACUAAUUGCCC